GAUGAAGAACGUAGCGAAAUGCGAUAAGUAGUGUGAAUUGCAGAAUUCAGUGAAUCAUCGAAUCUUUGAACGCACAUUGCGCCCCUUGGUAUUCCAUGGGGCAUGCCUGUUCGAGCGUCAUUUGUACCUUCAAGCUUUGCUUGGUGUUGGGUGUUUGUCCCGAGGGACUCGCCUUAAAGUAAUUGGCAGCCAGUGUUUGGUUUUGAAGCGCAGCACAAGUCGCGAUUCAAGGCUACACGCCCGCUUCCACAAGCCUUUUUUCACUUUUGACCUCGGAUCAGGUAGGGAUACCCGCUGAACUUAAGCAUAUCAAUAAGCGAGGA
RNAcentral lists this unclassified non-coding RNA (323 nucleotides) under soil metagenome. RNAcentral's name for it is "partial contains 5.8S ribosomal RNA, internal transcribed spacer 2, and large subunit ribosomal RNA". The stretch from base 1 to 120 matches the Rfam family "5.8S ribosomal RNA", at positions 35 to 154 of the family's 154-position model. The record is from RNAcentral.